GCCGGCGUAGCUCAACGGCAGAGCACCGGUUUUGUAAACCGGGGGUUGGGGGUCCGAAUCCCCCCGCCGGCUCCA
RNAcentral lists this transfer RNA (75 nucleotides) under Planctomycetota bacterium. RNAcentral describes it as "Planctomycetes bacterium (freshwater metagenome) tRNA-Thr". It matches the Rfam family "tRNA". From Rfam's summary of the family: Transfer RNA (tRNA) molecules are approximately 80 nucleotides in length. Their secondary structure includes four short double-helical elements and three loops (D, anti-codon, and T loops). Lineage: Bacteria; Pseudomonadati; Planctomycetota. The record is from RNAcentral.